This is a long non-coding RNA of Vidua chalybeata, 613 nucleotides long. RefSeq lists it as uncharacterized. NCBI's taxonomy places the organism in Eukaryota, Metazoa, Chordata, Aves, Passeriformes, Viduidae. The transcript has 2 exons. The record is from RefSeq and is a predicted model, not a curated record.
CUGGUGUGAGGGAUGGUAGUAGUUGUUGCCCAUCUGGGAACUUCUUCUGGAAGCAUCUCCUUUUCAGUAGCUCACUAGGAGGUAUCAGGCAUUCAGAAAUAAUGCAAGGUCUGCAGUCCCUACUAAAUCCCCAGUAAGCUGUGAGAUUUCGGGUAUCUUCAGUUAAGCUGCCUGCUCCCCGAGGAAUCGCAAGCAUUGACCUUGAGGGAGAAGUUCCUUGAGCUCAGUGGAACAGAGUUCUCAAUGGUGUUCAUGUGCUCAUGAAGCUGCUCCAAUGUCACCGCUCUGUUCUAGUUAAGAGCUUCUGGGAAUCUAACAAGUAAGGAUAUCAUGAAUCAACUUUAAUGUGGAUUACCGUGGGAGGACAGCAGAUAGUUCUAAAGCAAGUAAAGAUCGGAAAGGAAAACAAUGCUGACCACGUGGACUUCAAUUUGGAUGAAAUAAAUGUCCAAGGAGAGGAUUUCAUCACUCACAAAUGACGCCUCCUUGUGAGAGAGCAAUAUCAAAGAAAAGGUUUAGGCACUUACCAGUUAAAUAUGGAAGUAUCUGACAAAUUACUUAGAGAUAAGAGCUUUAGAAGUACAGAAUAAUAUAUAUUUUCUCUCUCACCUUG